AGAUGGCUGUCUUUUGUGUUGUGAUGUGUAGUCUGGUAGAAGUUUACCGACGUUUCAGAGGUACUUGAGCCUCCAUCAUUUCUCUGAUGUGUACAGUACUCAUGCAAAGUGUUUAGUGCACAUAUUAGACGUGUAUAUUUAAACAGAUAUUAAUGUAUACAGGCAGCAAAUGCUGUUCGUAUGAAUCCAAACCCCAAUCACCAAGGCGACAGAGGUUGGGCACGGCACCUUACCACCCACAACAAACAAUUCACACAGCCACAAUCUGCAUUAUUUUGUCAAACUUCAGAAUCAGCACUUUAAAAGUCUUCAAAACUUAUUUUGAGAGAUCAAACCUGGGGCCUUGAGAAAGCUCUUUGGUGUAAUUACACUCAGCAAUGUCCCAGUAGGAAGACGAAGCAUUAAGAAAUGCACGACCUCUGAGUUCCCUGCAGCUAUCACCACCACGCUGUGAUCAUCAGUCACACGAUGUCGAUUGACAGUCCACUACAUCCACUGUUCAAGCAACUGAUGGUAAGAACUUAGUGGCGUCAGCCUUGAAGAUGGAGACAGUACGUUUUUUCCGAAACGUUGCCAUCUAUCGACGAGUCUACAAAGCGCCAAAAUCUGAAGAUCAUCUCAUCAUCCAGGCCGCCGUGAAAACCUCAAAGUUCACAUUAACAUUUAAUAUUCCCCAUGUUGGAAAAUUAAAUAAUGUUCGUGUUACGUCUGACGGGUAUAGAAAGAGUUUCAUUGAUAGGGAAAGCUUUCCACUGGAAUGAUGUAUUAAAAUAACAAACUGGUAAGAUUCCAGUUUGUUAUUUUUAUACAGUUUCUAGGAAUCAGUCGCAAACAGUUUGCUUAAAGUCUACUAAAUCGAUAUCAACUAGCGUCGUCAACAUAACACACAAUACAUCAAAGACAAUUACAUGUAAAGAAUUGUAACAAAUGGGCAUAUUUGUUGUAGAAUAGUCCUACUCGACUCAGUUUUAAACUUAUAUUGCUUUUUAAUCUGAAUUUCAAUUUAGUCUCAAACCUUUGUCAGUUUGUAACAUUCAUUUUAAAUUAAUUAGUUUAAAUUCAAUCUUAGCACCUAGUUGUCACAUUAUAGAAAAUUGGCCUGAAAAUUCUAUGUUAAUACUAAAACAUGUCGCAAAAAUAAAAAAGAAUAAUUUUAAAAAUAA
Non-coding RNA from Zootermopsis nevadensis, 1163 nucleotides. NCBI's taxonomy places the organism in Eukaryota, Metazoa, Arthropoda, Insecta, Blattodea, Termopsidae. The record is from RefSeq and is a predicted model, not a curated record.